Molecule: non-coding RNA, 100 nt
Organism: Mycena rosella
Lineage: Eukaryota; Fungi; Basidiomycota; Agaricomycetes; Agaricales; Mycenaceae
Source: the annotation of a GenBank genome assembly
GGCCCAAUGGUCUAGACGUAUGAUACACGCUUCGGGUUCUCCCGGGAUUAUAUGAUCCUUUGUAUGUGUGUGGUCCCGGGUUCAAUUCCCGGUUGGGCCC